This is a long non-coding RNA of Artibeus jamaicensis (Jamaican fruit-eating bat), 1032 nucleotides long. RefSeq lists it as uncharacterized. NCBI's taxonomy places the organism in Eukaryota, Metazoa, Chordata, Mammalia, Chiroptera, Phyllostomidae. The transcript is spliced from 4 exons. The record is from RefSeq and is a predicted model, not a curated record.
GUAACGGUUUCCAUAUGCUGCGCUGCUCCCGCUUCAGACAACCAGAGAGGAGUGGGGGCAAUGCACGGACAGAGUGUGGUCCAGAGACGCCAAGAGGUUGCAUGCCCUGAGCAUUCUGUUCCCAGAGGCACCUGGUUCCUGUGAUUUCAAAUGUAAACUUUCUCCAGGACAAUGCUCCAACCAACUGAGGCACCCAACCAGGACCUGGCCCAUCAUUUCUGUACAGCUGACGGGUGGCACACGAUGUGAAGUUGUCAAAAGAAGUGUUAAUAAUGCUGAUGAUAUGCCACCACCCCAGGAAAACUUGGAAAGGCACAUCGUGGAGGAAGAAGCACAAACCACUUCCACGCCCGGAAAGCUCUGUGGAAGGAAUGUUCUGUGGAAGGUGCGGCUGCCUGGAGAGGUGGGCGGAAGAAACUUCAGAUGCGUUGUUUACAGCCUUAGCGAAGCCUGCUCCUUGAUCUGCUUUAGAAAUGGAAAUUACUGGCUCAGGGGCGCCAAGAUCCCGCCUGCUCACCGCUCCAGAACGACCGUCUCAUCCAUCUUUCCAGCCCAGGAGGAACCGAGAGCCUUCCCACAGAUUGGAGCUCCCGGGGGAGGGUCCCUGACAUCAGCCCCAGUAACCCCCCCUCCAGCUCCUGCAGCUUGACCACCUGAUCUGCACAAUUAGCACCUUGUUAUAUCCCAUCCUGUCUUCCACUGUCUGCAAGGAAGGAUUUAGCACUUUAUUAGAUCAGCACAUAUGCAGCUAUAUAUAAUGCUCUCUUGCUCCCUGGCUCAUGGAUGAUGUCUUGUCUCUCCCAUGAAAAAUGGGCAGGAGUUUGGUCUGUGUUUUUUUCUAUCUCAUGGCAUCCAGCACUGCGCUGCGCACGUAGCAGGAAUUCUGUACAUUCUGUUUGCUGUGAUGAUCGACGGCCUGGACGGAGAAUCCCAAAUACUGGGGCUCUAUUUCCAAGCUGCCGUUUCUCUGUUUUGGCCAUUAGAUACAUCAUUUGUCAAAAUAGAAACUGUACAAGUGGAAAGAAGUAGCUA